CACUUGGAAAGAUAACAAUGCUAAUUACCUUCGGCUAUGUGGACAACACCAGAACAGAGCAAGUUGUAUUUGACAUUGUUGUCACGCCCGGAUUUAAGGGGUAAAGCCGGGUGCGUCUCAUAUGUGCGCCAAAUAAGAACAACACAUAUAAUGACUAAGUGUAUAGAGAUAAAUAUCACAAACAUUAUUACAUUGCAGAAGUGUUUUACAAAAAUAAAUGAUAACAAUAAAGCGAACUAAUAAUUAUUCCUUGGUGCCAUAAAGCUGACUAGGAGACGCCACCUAGACAAGCUCGUACUCCUCAUAGUAGACCUCCUCUUGGGCUACCUGCUCUUCACCUGUGUGGGGUUUAUAUAUCACAAGGGUGAGCUCACUAAAGAUCAUAACUCAAUAAGUUGUGGGGAAUAAUGUGCAUGAACUCACCAAAGGUGGGAGCUCAUGCGAAGUGUAAGGCUAAUCAACAAAUAAUGGUUAAAGCUGAGCAUUGCUUUUAAUAAGUUGGUCAAAUUUUAUUAGCAGUUACUAAAUGUAAGUAUAUACCAAACCAAAGUAAUAAUAGAUCAAAAUUAAUAAUAAAACCAUAAUGCGAUGCAUAUGACAAAUUGAGUUUAAUUCCAUAAGUUAAUCAUGCGAGAGUCCUGAGCUGCUCAUGACCGCGAGCACGACUAGUGUUGGGACUAUGCUUCGUCGCGCCGAAGGUCUUGAAGGAAGAAGCAGCUUCAGCUGAAGCUGUCCGCGUGCGAUGACCGAAGCUUGAUCUUCAUAAAGCUUCGGAAUUAUGAACCGACUUAAAAGUAGAAAGACCUUUUAGUCCAUAAGCGUUUGAGUCGUUAUUGUAGACUUUUAUGAAGGGCAUGGUUGUAAAUUCUCACAGGCUGUGUCCUGUGCCUAUAAAUAGUGAACAGUACUCCUCUACUGUUCACGCUUUUUUGAUUCGGGUUUUUCAUCAUCUCAUCAUUUUGAGAACCAACCUUUGUCAAGGCAGAGGUAUAAUUGUAUCCAAUACUUAAAUAUAUUGAAUGAAUAUAAUAUAAUUCAUUUACUUUUGAUGCUCUAUAUUUUAUGUUAUUUCGUACAAUUUAACAACGUACUAUUACGAAAACUCAACCUUCGUAAUCGUAUUGUCGUUCGCCUUCGUCUAGAGUGCAUUAUCCCCGAGGGAAUAAUGCUUCAUUGGACGAAGGUCAUUGUCAUUUAAUAUUUUAUGUUGCCUUGUUCUUGAUUCAUAGCGGUUGAGAACAAGUCCCCAACAACUAGUAUACCAGUUUUACACUCUGCAGAGGUUGUACCCUUUACCCACAAGUCAUGUUACCCGUCUGCCAUGGGGUUGUAGGGCCCCAUACACCUCUACCAAGGAAGCGAGGCAGGGUAACACUACAAGGCCUUUACAAAGUUCCACUAGCUUCAGAAAACCCGCUACAGUUUCUAGGGAGAGCAAUAUAAGAAUCUCCCGUCUAAAAAGCCAUAGCAGAAAAAUCAACCCAAGAACCUCCCUAUAUCGACAACUCCCCUACUGCUCUUGCCCCUUUCGGGUAAGGUAGACCUUGAAAGGGAAUUAGGCUUACACCUAGUUCCUAUAUAAUUUUGGUGGUUGAAUUGCCCAACACAAAUAAUUGGACUAACUAGUUUGUUCUAGUGUAUAAGUUAUACAGGUGCAAAAGGUUCACAUCAAGCCAAUUAAAAAGACCAAAGUUGGGUUCAAAUAGAGAGCUAAAGGCAACCGAAGGCACCUCUGGUCUGGGGGCACCGGACUGUCCGGUGUACACCGGACAGUGUCCGGUGCACCACCGGACAUGUCCGGUGCACCAGAGUACUUCAACACAAACUCGCCACCUUCGGGAAUUUCCAGAGGCAACUCCGCUAUAAUUCACCGGACUGUCCGGUGUACACCGGACAUGUCCGGUGCUCCAAGGAAGGGCGGCCUCCGGAACUCGCCAGCCUCGGGUUUUUACUUCAGCUGCUCCGCUAAAAAUCACCGGACUGUCCGGUGUACACCGGACUGUCCGGUGUACACCGGACUGUCCGGUGCAUCCUCAGAGCAACGGCUACUUCGCGCCAACGGCUACCUGCGACGGCAUUUAAUGCGCGCGCAGCGCGCGCAGAAGUCAGAGACGCCCAUGCCGGCGCACCGGACAGUGAACAGUGCAUGUCCGGUGCGCCACCGGACAUCAAGGCGGGCCCAGAAGUCAGAACUCCAACGGUCAAUUUCCAACGGCACUGGUGACGUGGCUGGGGCACCGGACUGUCCGGUGUGCACCGGACUAUCCGGUGCGCCAUCGAACAGACGGCCUCCACCAACGGUCAAGUUGGUGGUUGGGGCUAUAAAUACCCCAACCACCCCACCAUUCAUUGCAUCCAAGUUUUCCACUUCUCAACCACUUACAAGAGCUAGGCAUUCAAUUCUAGACACACCAAAGAGAUCAAAUCCUCUCCAAUUCCACAAAAGGCUUUAGUGAUUGGCGAGAGAGAUUUGCCGUGUUCUUUUGAGCUCUUGCGCUUGGAUUGCUUCUUUUCUUUCUCACUUGCUCUUGUGAUCAACACUCAAUUGUAAUCAAGGCAAGAGGCACCAAUUGUGUGGUGGCCCUUGCGGGGAAGUUUUGUUCCCGGCUUUGAUUUGAGAAGAGAAGCUCACUCGGUCCGAGGGACCGUUUGAGGGAGGGAAGGGUUGAAAGAGACCCGGCCUUUGUGGCCUCCUCAACGGGGAGUAGGUUUGCGAGAACCGAACCUCGGUAAAACAAAUCCGCGUGUCACACUCUUCAUUUGCUUGCAAUUUGUUUUACGCCCUCUCUCGUGGACUCGAUUAUAUUUCUAACGCUAACCCGGCUUGUAGUUGUGAUUAUUUUUGAGAAUUUCAGUUUCGCCCUAUUCACCCCCCCCCCUCUAGGCGACUAUCAAUUGGUAUCGGAGCCCGAUGCUUCAUUAGAGCCUAACCGCUCGAAGUGAUGUCGGGAGAUCACGCCAAGAAGGAGAUGGAGACCGGCGAAAAGCCCACUACAAGCCACGGGAGCACUUCAUCGGAAGAGUCCCGCACAAAGAGGAAGGAGAAGAAGAAGGACUCCUCCAAACGAAAGGAGAAAAGAUCUUCUUCUUCUCACCACAAAGAGAAGAAGGAAAAAUCUUCUUCUCACAAAUCGCAUCGGAAAGGCGACAAGCACAAGAGGAUGAGGAAAGUGGUCUACUACGAGACCGACACUUCUUCAACAUCGACCUCCGACUCCGAUGCGCCCUCCGUAACUUCUAAACGCCAAGAGCGUAAGAAGUUUAGUAAGAUCCCCUUACACUAUCCUCGUACAUCUAGACAUACUCCAUUACUUUCCAUUCCAUUAGGCAAACCACCAACCUUUGACGGUGAAGAUUAUGCUAGGUGGAGUGAUUUAAUGAAAUUUCAUCUAACCUCACUCCACAAAAGUAUAUGGAAUGUUGUUGAGUUUGGAGCACAGGUACCAUCAAUAGGGGAUGAGGAUUAUGAUGAGGACGAGGUGGCCCAAAUCGAGCACUUCAACUCCCAAGCCACAACAAUACUCUUGGCCUCUCUAAAUAGAGAGGAGUACAACAAGGUGCAAGGGUUGAAGAAUGCAAAGGAAAUUUGGGACCUCCUCAAGACCGCGCACGAGGGUGAUGAACUAACAAAGAUCACCAAGCGGGAAACGAUCGAGGGGGAGCUCGGUCGCUUUCGACUUCGCCAAGGGGAAGAGCCACAAGACAUGUACAACCGGCUCAAGACUUUGGUGAACCAAGUGCGCAACCUCGGGAGCAAGAUGUGGGACGAUCACGAGGUGGUUAAGGUUAUUCUAAGAGCUCUCAUUUUCCUUAACCCCACUCAAGUUCAAUUAAUUCGUGGUAAUCCUAGAUACCCACUAAUGACCCCCGAGGAAGUUAUCGGGAAUUUUGUGAGCUUUGAAUGUAUGAUUAAAGGAUCAAAGAAGAUCAACGAGCUUGACGAACCCUCCACAUCCGAGGCACAACCGGUGGCCUUCAAGGCAACGGAGGAAAAGAAGGAGGAGUCUACACCAAGUAGACAACCAAUUGACGCCUCCAAGCUCGACAAUGAGGAGAUGGCUUUAAUCAUCAAAAGCUUUCGCCAAAUCCUCAAGCAACGGAAGGGGAAAGACUACAAAUCCCGUUCCAAGAAGGUUUGCUACAAGUGUGGUAAGCCCGGUCACUUUAUCGCUAAAUGUCCAUUAUCAAGUGACAGUGACAGGGACAACGACAAGAAGGGCAAGAGAAGAGAAAAGAAGAGGUACCACAAGAAGAGGGGCGGCGAUGCCCACGUAUGCCGCGAGUGGGACUCCGACGAGAGCUCCACCGAGUCCUCCUCCGACGAGGACGCCGCCAACAUCGCCGUCACCAAAGGGCUUCUCUUUCUCAACGUCGGCCACAAGUGCCUCAUGGCAAAGGAUGGCAAAAGGAAAAAGGUUAAAUCUAAAUCCUCCACAAAAUAUGAGUCCUCUAGUGAUGAUAAUGCUAGUGAUGAGGAGGAUAACUUGCUUACCCUUUUUGCCAAUCUUAACGUGGAACAAAAGGAAAAAUUAAAUGAAUUGAUUAGUGCUAUUCAUGAAAAAGAUGACCUUUUGGAUUCCCAAGAGGAUUUUCUAAUUAAAGAAAACAAGAAACAUGUUAAGGUUAAAAAUGCUUAUGCUCUAGAAGUAGAAAAAUGUCAAAAACUAUCUAGUGAGCUAAGCACUUGCCAUGACACUAUUGCCAACCUUAGAAAUGAAAAUGCUAGUUUAAUUGCUAAGGUUGAGUCUCAUGUUUGUGAUGCUUCAAUUCCCAAUCUUAGAAAUGAUAAUGAUGACUUGCUUGCUAAGAUUAAGGAAUUGAAUGAUUCUCUUGCUAGCCUUAGAGUAGAAAAUGAAAAUUUGAUUGCUAAGGCUAAAGAUUUUGAUGUUUGCAAUUCUAUUAUUUCCGACCUUAGAACUAAGAAUGAUAUGUUACAUGCUAAGGUUGUUGAAUUAAAAUCUUGCAAACCCUCUACAUCUAAUGUUGAGCAUGUUUCUAUUUGUACUAGAUGUAGAGAUGUUGAUAUCAAUGCUAUUCAUGAUCACAUGUCUUUAAUUAAACAACAAAAUGAUCAUAUAGCAUUAUUAGAUGCAAAAAUUGCCGAGCAUAACUUGGAAAAUGAAAAGUUUAAAUUUGCUAGAAGUAUGCUCUAUAAUGGGAGACGCCCGGGCAUCAAGGAUGGCAUUGGCUUCCAAAGGGGAGACAAUGUCAAACUUAAUGCCCCUCCUAAAAAUUUGUCUAACUUUAUUAAGGGCAAGGCUCCCAUGCCUCAGGAUAACGAGGGUUACAUUCUGUACCCUGCCGGUUAUCCCGAGAGCAAAAUUAAGAGAAUUCACUCUAGGAAGUCUCACUCUGGCCCUAAUCAUGCUUUUAUGUAUAAGGGUGAGACAUCUAGUUCUAGGCAACCAACCCGUGCCAAGUUGCCUAGAAAGAAAACUCCUAUUGCAUCAAAUGAUCAUGCUAUUUCAUUCAAAACUUUUGAUGCAUCAUAUGUGCUUACUAACAAAUCCGGCAAGGUAGUUGCCAAGUUUGUUGGGGGCAAACACAAGGGCUCCAAGACUUGUGUUUGGGUACCCAAAGUUCUUGUGUCUAAUGCCAAAGGACCCAAAACCGUUUGGGUACCUAAAGUCAAGAACUAAAAUUGUUUUGUAGGUUUAUGCAUCCGGGGGCUCAAGUUGGAUACUCGACAGCGGAUGCACAAACCACAUGACAGGGGAGAAAAAGAUGUUCUCCUCAUAUGAGAAAAACCAAGAUCCCCAACGAGCUAUCACAUUCGGGGAUGGAAAUCAAGGUUUGGUCAAAGGACUGGGUAAAAUUGCUAUAUCACCUGACCAUACUAUUUCCAAUGUUUUUCUUGUAGAUUCUUUAGAUUACAAUUUGCUUUCCGUAUCCCAAUUAUGUCAAAUGGGCUACAACUGUCUAUUCACUGAUGUAGGUGUCACUGUCGUUAGAAGAAGUGAUGAUUCAAUAGCAUUUAAGGGAGUGUUAGAGGGUCAGCUAUACUUGGUAGAUUUUGAUAAAGCUGAACUCGACACUUGCUUAAUUGCUAAGACUAACAUGGGUUGGCUCUGGCACCGCCGACUAGCCCAUGUUGGGAUGAAGAAUCUUUAUAAGCUUCUAAAGGGAGAACACAUUUUAGGAUUAACAAAUGUUCAUUUUGAGAAAGACAGGAUUUGUAGCGCAUGCCAAGCCGGGAAGCAAGUUGGAACCCAACAUCCACACAAGAACAUCAUGACGACCGACAGGCCGCUGGAGCUACUCCACAUGGAUCUUUUCGGCUCGAUUGCUUACAUAAGCAUAGGCGGGAGUAAGUAUUGUCUUGUAAUAGUGGAUGAUUAUUCUCGCUUCACUUGGGUGUUCUUUUUGCAGGAAAAAUCUCAAACCCAAGAGACCUUAAAGGGAUUCUUGAGACGGGCUCAAAAUGAGUUCGGCUUAAGGAUCAAGAAAAUUAGAAGCGACAACGGGACGGAGUUCAAGAACUCUCAAAUUGAAGGCUUCCUUGAGGAGGAGGGCAUCAAGCAUGAGUUCUCUUCUCCCUACACUCCACAACAAAAUGGUGUAGUGGAGAGGAAGAAUCGAACUCUAUUAGACAUGGCAAGAACCAUGCUUGAUGAGUACAAGACUUCGGAUCGGUUUUGGGCCGAGGCGGUCAACACCGCUUGCUACGCCAUCAACCGGUUGUAUCUACACCGAAUCCUCAAGAAGACAUCCUAUGAACUCCUAACCGGUAAAAAGCCAAAUAUUUCAUAUUUUAGAGUUUUUGGUAGCAAAUGCUUUAUUCUUGUUAAGAGAGGUAGAAAAUCUAAAUUUGCUCCUAAAACUGUAGAAGGCUUUUUACUAGGAUAUGACUCAAACACAAGGGCAUAUAGAGUCUUUAACAAGUCCUCAGGACUUGUUGAAGUUUCUUGUGACGUUGUGUUUGACGAGACUAACGGCUCUCAAGUAGAGCAAGUUGAUCUUGAUGAGAUAGGUGAAGAACAGGCUCCAUGCAUAGCGCUAAGGAACAUGUCCAUUGGGGAUGUGUGUCCUAAGGAAUCCAAAGAGCCUCCACAUGCACAAGAUCAACCAUCCUCCUCCACGCUAGCAUCUCCACCGACUCAAAAUGAGGAUGAAGCUCAAGUUGAUGAAGUAGAAGAUCAAGCAAAUGAGCCACCUCAAGAUGACGACAAUGAUCAAGGGGGAGAUGCAAAUGAUCAAGACAAGGAGGAUGAAGAGCAAAGGCCGCCACACCCAAGAGUCCACCAAGCAAUCCAACGAGAUCACCCCGUUGACACCAUCCUCGGCGACAUUCAUAAGGGGGUAACUACUAGAUCUCGUAUUGCACAUUUUUUUGAACAUUACUCGUUUGUUUCCUCUAUUGAGCCACACAGGGUAGAGGAAGCACUACAAGAUUCGGAUUGGGUGGUGGCAAUGCAAGAGGAGCUCAACAACUUCACUAGAAAUAAGGUAUGGCAUUUAGUUCCACGUCCUAAUCAAAAUGUUGUAGGAACCAAAUGGGUUUUCCGCAACAAGCAAGAUGAGCAUGGUGUGGUGACAAGGAACAAAGCACGACUUGUGGCCAAGGGAUACUCCCAAGUCGAAGGUUUGGAUUUCGGUGAAACCUAUGCACCCAUAGCUAGGCUUGAGUCAAUUCGCAUAUUAUUAGCCUAUGCUACUUACCAUGGCUUUAAGCUUUAUCAAAUGGACGUAAAAAGUGCCUUCCUCAAUGGACCAAUCAAGGAAGAGGUCUAUGUUGAGCAACCUCCCGGCUUUGAAGACAGUGAGUAUCCUAACCAUGUCUAUAAGCUCUCUAAGGCGCUUUAUGGGCUCAAGCAAGCCCCAAGAGCAUGGUAUGAAUGCCUUAGAGAUUUCCUUAUUGCUAAUGGCUUCAAAGUCGGAAAAGCCGAUCCUACACUCUUUACUAAAACUCUUGAAAAAGACUUGUUUGUAUGCCAAAUUUAUGUUGAUGAUAUUAUAUUUGGGUCUACUAACGAGUCUACAUGUGAAGAGUUUAGUAGGAUUAUGACACAGAAAUUCGAGAUGUCUAUGAUGGGGGAGUUAAAGUAUUUCUUAGGAUUCCAAGUAAAGCAACUCCAAGAGGGCACCUUCAUUAGCCAAACGAAGUACACUCAAGACAUUCUAAACAAGUUUGGGAUGAAGGAUGCCAAGCCCAUCAAGACACCCAUGGGAACCAAUGGGCAUCUCGACCUCGACACGGGAGGUAAGUCCGUGGAUCAAAAGGUAUACCGGUCGAUGAUUGGUUCAUUGCUUUAUUUAUGUGCAUCUCGACCGGACAUUAUGCUUUCCGUUUGCAUGUGUGCAAGAUUCCAAGCCGACCCUAAGGAAUCACACCUUACGGCCGUAAAAUGAAUCUUGAGAUAUUUGGCUUAUACACCUAAGUUUGGGCUUUGGUACCCUCGGGGAUCCACAUUUGAUUUGAUUGGUUAUUCGGAUGCCGAUUGGGCAGGAUGUAAGAUUAAUAGAAAGAGCACAUCGGGGACUUGCCAGUUCUUGGGAAGAUCCUUGGUGUCUUGGGCUUCAAAGAAGCAAAAUUCGGUCGCUCUUUCAACCGCCGAAGCCGAGUAUAUUGCCGCAGGUCAUUGUUGCGCGCAAUUGCUUUGGAUGAGGCAAACCCUGCGGGACUACGGUUACAAAUUAACCAAAGUCCCUUUGCUAUGUGAUAAUGAGAGCACAAUUAAAAUGGCCGACAAUCCUGUCGAGCAUAGCCGCACUAAACACAUAGCCAUUCGGUAUCAUUUUCUUAGGGAUCACCAAGAAAAGGGGGAUAUCGAGAUUUCAUACAUUAACACUAAAGAUCAAUUAGCCGAUAUCUUUACCAAGCCUCUUGACGAACAAACUUUUACCAAACUUAGGCAUGAGCUCAAUAUUCUUGAUUCUAGAAAUUUCUUUUGCUAGUUUGCACACAUAGCAUACAAGUAUACCUUUGAUCAUAUCUCUUUUGUAUAUGCUAUGACUAAUGUGUUUUUAAGAGUAUUUCAAACCAAGUCAUAGGUAUAUUGAAAGGGAAUUGGAGUCUUCGGCGAAGACAAAGGCUUCCACUCCACUCCACUACUCAUCCUUCGCCGUCACUCCGAGAAUCUCUCCAACUUUGGUAUACUCUUCAUUCAUUUAUUUUAUGACCAAAGGAGGAGAAAAUACUUCGAAGGGCUCUAAUGAUUCCGUUUUUGGCGAUUCAUGCCAAAGGGGGAGAAAGGUUGAGCCCAAAGCAAAAGGACCGCACCACCACCAAUUUCAAAAACUCAGUAUUUUCCAAGAGCAUUUUUUCAAUUGGUAUCUUAUUGAGUUCAAAAGGGGGAGAAAAUAGUUUUUCAACUUUAAUCAUCAAAACCCUCUUGAACACUAAGAGGAUGAUUUCAUUUAGGGGGAGUUUUGUUUAGUCAAAAGAAAGGCAUUUGAAACAGGGGGAGAAAAUUUCAAAACUUGAAAAUGCCUUGCAAACUCUUAUUCAUUUACCUUUGACUAUUUGCAAAAGAACUUUGAAAAGAUUUACAAAAGAUUUUUGCAAAAACAAAACAUGUGGUGCAAACGUGGUCCAAAAUGUUAAAAAUGAAGAAACAAUCCAUGCAUAUCUUGUAAGUAUUGAUAUUGGCUCAAUUCCAAGCAACCUUUACACUUACAUCAUACAAACUAGUUCAAUUAUGCACUUCUAUAUUUGCUUUGGUUUGUGUUGGCAUCAAUCACCAAAAAGGGGGAGAUUGAAAGGGAAUUAGGCUUACACCUAGUUCCUAUAUAAUUUUGGUGGUUGAAUUGCCCAACACAAAUAAUUGGACUAACUAGUUUGUUCUAGUGUAUAAGUUAUACAGGUGCAAAAGGUUCACAUCAAGCCAAUUAAAAAGACCAAAGUUGGGUUCAAAUAGAGAGCUAAAGGCAACCGAAGGCACCUCUGGUCUGGGGGCACCGGACUGUCCGGUGUACACCGGACAGUGUCCGGUGCACCACCGGACAUGUCCGGUGCACCAGAGUACUUCAACACAAACUCGCCACCUUCGGGAAUUUCCAGAGGCAACUCCGCUAUAAUUCACCGGACUGUCCGGUGUACACCGGACAUGUCCGGUGCUCCAAGGAAGGGCGGCCUCCGAAACUCGCCAGCCUCGGGUUUUUACUUCAGCUGCUCCGCUAAAAAUCACCGGACUGUCCGGUGUACACCGGACUGUCUGGUGCAUCCACGGAGCAACGGCUACUUCGCGCCAACGGCUACCUGCGACGGCAUUUAAUGCGCGCGCAGCGCGCGCAGAAGUCAGAGACGCCCAUGCCGGCGCACCGGACAGUGAACAGUGCAUGUCUGGUGCGCCACCGGACAUCAAGGCGGGCCCAGAAGUCAGAACUCCAACGGUCAAUUUCCAACGGCACUGGUGACGUGGCUGGGGCACCGGACUGUCCGGUGUGCACCGGACUGUCCGGUGCACCAUCGAACAGACGGCCUCCACCAACGGUCAAGUUGGUGGUUGGGGCUAUAAAUACCCCAACCACCCCACCAUUCAUUGCAUCCAAGUUUUCCACUUCUCAACCACUUACAAGAGCUAGGCAUUCAAUUCUAGACACACCAAAGAGAUCAAAUCCUCUCCAAUUCCACAAAAGGCUUUAGUGAUUGGCGAGAGAGAUUUGCCGUGUUCUUUUGAGCUCUUGCGCUUGGAUUGCUUCUUUUCUUUCUCACUUGCUCUUGUGAUCAACACUCAAUUGUAAUCAAGGCAAGAGGCACCAAUUGUGUGGUGGCCCUUGCGGGGAAGUUUUGUUCCCGGCUUUGAUUUGAGAAGAGAAGCUCACUCGGUCCGAGGGACCGUUUGAGGGAGGGAAGGGUUGAAAGAGACCCGGCCUUUGUGGCCUCCUCAACGGGGAGUAGGUUUGCGAGAACCGAACCUCGGUAAAACAAAUCCGCGUGUCACACUCUUCAUUUGCUUGCAAUUUGUUUUACGCCCUCUCUCGUGGACUCGAUUAUAUUUCUAACGCUAACCCGGCUUGUAGUUGUGAUUAUUUUUGAGAAUUUCAGUUUCGCCCUAUUCACCCCCCCUCUAGGCGACUAUCAGACCUCCACUACCUUUCCUAAUUAGUCAACCAAGGGCGUCCCAUUCCACCCUUGUGAUGGCACGUUUAUCUCAAGUUAAGCUCCAUGUUCCAAUUAACACAACAGUCUUCUCAAGAACAUAAUAGAACAACAAUAAUAAAGCAUGAUCAUGAAUGAUAAUUAUCUUUAACACCCAAAACCACAUAUAGCAAUAGCAUAGACUACCCAAAAAGUUGUGGUAAACAAGGUAUAAAGAUGACCAAACUGGAGUGACCUAUUGGAUCCCAUCAAAAUUAAGAAAAUGAUUAUAGAGAACAUUAUUAAGUAAAUGAAAGUGGUCAAGGGCACAACUUGCCUUCAAUGACCUCCUGCUCAGUAUUUUCCACCUCCUGAGCACCUAGGUCCUCAUUUGCCUGCCCGUCUACUCGCAACAAUACAAACAAACAUUGUACAGGACAAAUUAACAUCACACUAAACAUGAGAACAUAUUGCAUAAUAAAAUUCUACGUAUCGUAACGAGAUCGUUGGUUCGAAAACCACUAAAUUCGGAGUUACGAUUAGAGAGUUACAAUUUUUCAAAGUUUUAAGUGGUUGAUAUAGAAUAGAUUAAGUGCAUAAUUUUAGUCUAUGUUUCAUGAAAAAACAGAGUUACUAGGUGAUAAACAAUAUUAAACGACAUUAAUGCAACUGGAAUGGAUCAAAAAGAAGUUAAAAUGAAUUAGUUAUGAAUUAAAUGUGUUUCUGGAAUUAUUUUUACACUAAAAACAUUUUCUGGUUGAUUUUAUUAAACCUACAAUUUAUUUGGGCUGCGCGCACAAAAACGGAAAGACCAGGGUUUGUUUUAUAAGAAACCAGGACACAACUGUGAUUACUUUAUACUAAGUGUGGAUGUCGGGUUGAUUUGCAUGUUUCUCGGGGGCUCUUAAGAAAAUAUACCAUGGCGAAGGGGUAUGUUCUAUUGUAUGCCGUCCGAUCUAAUUUCUACGCACUAGAUUAGAUCUGUAACCUAGUGAACCGGUACGUCCCACAGGCCUCUGGAUCGAGAUCCAACAGCCCGAAUUUAAUUACUGCGGGUCCAACAAAGGCCCCUCGAUCCUGAUCGAACGGCCCAGGCGCGCUCCACCGAAGCGGUAUGCUCGAUUAAAUCUAAACCGUUCAUCCACCAAUCCACAGCCGACAAUCAAUUCCCCAAGAUCUAAUCCUGGCCCUACUUUGGAAAUCGAUGGCCCCCGGUUGUCUUCCUUCUUCGUGCCGAGCAGGACGGCGUCGCCGCCCACGGGCCCAGCGGAGGCACGUCGGAGUAGCUCCAACCCUCGCUAUACUGUCUAAUUCGACCCCCGAUCAGUGCUACGCAAAGAGAAAUGAAGGCGGACAAAGGUGCUUGGUUUCUUACCGGAGUUGGGGCGACGGACGCGCGAAUUACGGCGCAGCACGGGGCUCAAGGUGCUGGUGCCCUCCGAUGAAAAAUUACCCGGGGUAUCAGGGUUCCUAUCGCUUGAAGAUCCUUUGCCCAGGUGCCACAGACCAUGACUAACACUCAAGGCAAUUCGCAGGGAGCGUGACGACGGUGGCGGUGACUCUCCACGGUGGCCGCCCGAUCACCCCCUGCUCCCUCCUUCCUCGCGAUAAUGGGUAGGCUCUGGUAGUCUAAGCGAUUGAAUCGGUCACAGGGAAUGCAGCGCGACCGAUUU
This 12693-nucleotide long non-coding RNA is filed under the name Zea mays. RNAcentral describes it as "long non-coding RNA (ZMAY_LNC003345)". The record is from RNAcentral. Lineage: Eukaryota; Viridiplantae; Streptophyta; Magnoliopsida; Poales; Poaceae.